Long non-coding RNA from Triticum dicoccoides, 1152 nucleotides. RefSeq lists it as uncharacterized. NCBI's taxonomy places the organism in Eukaryota, Viridiplantae, Streptophyta, Magnoliopsida, Poales, Poaceae. The record is from RefSeq and is a predicted model, not a curated record. The transcript is spliced from 3 exons.
CACAACCCGGCCCGCUCCUCAAGUCAUCAUCUGCUGCCCCAGUCGCAUGCCCGUAAGGGUUUCCAUGCCUCCAGAGCGGCGGCGGCGGCUGGUAACACUUUCGCCAAGGCGUCGGCCACUGCGCUCCCCUGCGGCGGGCUUGAGGGGAUCUGUGCCAGGCGCGUGCUGCGGAGGAAGCAGCUGCCCUCGGCAACGGCGGCGUGGACGUCAGAGUUCUCCGCCCCUCUUAUGCUAUCAGACCAGCAGCUACACCGGAUCAGGCCGCUCGAGGUGGACGGGGUUGGAACCGAGGUGUACUCCCUGACCAGCGCUCCUACAUCAGCAUGACGGCGUCGCUCCUCCAACUUCCCUCACUGAUUAUAGUCUUCAAAAUUUUGGCUCGUACUACCACCACCUUCUCUACGCAGAUGUAUAGGUAAAUGUGAGUCGGCCUUCAAACUCGCCAAAAACCGAUAUGUACAUACAUUCAAGGGUUAUCAUUCUCUUAAAUCUCGAUGAAUUUAUAUCUGUUUACAUUAGGAACUGAGGGAAAUAGGAAUCAUUUUGUUCGUGAUACUUGGUUACAUGAGCUUUUUCUCUUCUGUGUAGGCCAAAAUUGUACAAAGUUAUCUCCUGAAGUUAUAUCGAAGGUGACUUCUAUGAGGUUCUGAAAAAUGAAAUGCGGUAAAAAGUAAAGCCCAGUUGCAGCAACACGUUUAGACUGCAAUGAAGAGGAGCCAUUGUUGAUCAGGCUGCAAGGUCAAUAAACAAUGUUAGUCCAUAAUGUUGCUUAAUAUGGAUGAGAAUCGUAAAAGAUAUAUUUUCAUGGAUUGAUAAUGCACCUCUAGAAUGCUUAGACCCUGGUGCAACGCACGGGCAAUUACCUAGUUUAAAAGGAAAAAAAAAACUCAACACUGUUAGAUGGCCUAACAUUGUCCCCGCCCACGAGCGGAGCAUGUUCCAUAGAAUUCGAGAAACUCCUGGGCUUGCUUAGAUGGGGCAUGUUUUUUAUGUACUCCUCGGUGUUUAGCUUAAGUCUGAGCUAAAUAUUGAAGAGCGCACAAAAAAUACACCUAAUUCAAACAUGCAUGCUAUUUUGCUCUAGCAACUCCGUAGUAGACACACUUUCGGGAUGCCACAUUUUUAGGGACAUGUAUAUCACAGAACUGUAGG